ACUUUACUAUAAGAGAAUUGUAAAUCGAUAACGCAUGCCAAAAAUUGAAAGCUGAUGCACGUGCUAUUUGCACGUGUGUAGUGGGGAUUGCAGUUGGUUUGAAGGAAGCUGCCUUGUAUAAAAAGACAGCAACACACUGUGAGUCUCAGUAUCGUGCAAGAUUGUUAAUCGUGAUUUAAAAUCUGUCGCUUCUGAUAUAAAAAUAACGACUUUAAUUUUUUGAUCGAAUUUACACCAAAAUCAACAAAAUGGGAGAGCCAUUGGUCGUUGAGAUGGUGUAUCUUUACGAAAAAGAAAAUGCAAAAUUACAUCAUACCAUCAAUUACGAAUUAGUACAUCUCGAUCCUCCAGCUGCUGUCCUCAGACGAGGACAAUCUUUCCACAUUGCCUUGAGAUUCAAUCGAGAAUAUAUAGAUGAAAUAGACAUCGUUAGAUUACUGUUCAGUUUUGGACCAAAUCCGAAUGUUCUUAGAGGAACUAGAGGAGUGAACAUUAUCACCAAUAGAGAUAGUUAUCUGACAGAUUUAGAGGCAUGGGGUGUGCGUUUGAUGGGUGUUAGUGGCGUGGAUUUAUCAGCGGAAGUAAGAAGUCCUGUAGACAGUCCUGUUGGCAUGUGGCAGUUAAACAUAGAGACCACUAUCGUGGGGAGCAAGAAAUCUCCAAAUACCUAUAAUUAUGACAAGGAUAUUUAUUUGUUAUUUAAUCCCUGGUUGAAAGAGGAUUUAGUUUACAUGGAGGAUGAACAACUUCUGGAUGAAUAUAUUCUGAAUGAUGUUGGAAAAAUUUGGGUCGGAGCGUGGGGAAGUGCACGCGGUAGAGAAUGGAUAUUCGGUCAAUUCGAUGCAUAUGUGCUUAAAGCUUGUCAAUUACUAUUAGAAAGAUCUGGCAUCAAAGCUAAUUCCAGAGGAGAUCCGAUUCAAAUGUGUAGAGUUAUUUCGAGAAUCGUAAACUCCAACGAUGACAAAGGAGUAGUGACUGGUCGAUGGGAUGGCGAUUAUCAAGAUGGUACUGCGCCGGCUGCUUGGACCGGAAGUGUACCAAUUCUCGAGCAGUUCUUAGAAACAGGAGAAUCCGUCAAAUACGGUCAAUGUUGGGUAUUUGCCGGUGUCGUGACCACCGUCUGUCGUGCUCUAGGGAUACCAUCGAGAGUGGUUUCAAACUUGGUAUCGGCUCACGAUGCGAACGCCUCGCUCUCUGUCGAUCGUUAUUACAGCAAGGACAACGAGGAACUCGAAUACGAUCCGAACAAUCUUGAAGGCGAAGACUCCAUUUGGAAUUAUCACGUUUGGAACGAUGUCUGGAUGGCUAGGCCUGAUUUGCCUAAAGGAUAUGGUGGAUGGCAAGCGAUCGAUUCAACGCCCCAAGAACCUUCGGAGGGUGUUUACCAGUGUGGACCAGCUUCAGUCGAAGCAAUUAAACAAGGAGUUGUCGGAUAUAAUUACGAUGUGACAUUUAUGCUGGCUUCCGUAAAUGCUGAUCUUAUGAGGUGGAUAGAGGAUCCUGACAGCGAAAUGGGAUUCAGGAAGAUCGACUGUAAUAAGUAUCACAUUGGUCGAAUGAUUUUGACAAAAGCUCCUUGGGUCUAUGAUCCCAAUGGAGACAGAGAUAGAGAAGAUAUAACAUCUUUAUAUAAAGCAACAGAAGGAACGGAAUUGGAGCGAUUAACGUUGUACAGAGCCGUACGCAGUACGGAACUGGCCAAAAGAUUUUAUUCCUUGCCCUCACCAGCUAAGGAAGAUGUUGAAUUUGAUCUUGUGGAUAUUGAGCGAGUGAAUAUCGGCCAACCAUUUGCAGUAAUAGUGAAUAUAAAGAAUAAAUCGAACGAGAAACGUACUAUUCAAGCUAUUUUAUCCGCUGGUAGCGUAUAUUAUAAGGGAAUCAAGGCACAUCUGGUAAAGAGAGCGUCCGGUGAUUUCGUUCUUGAACCAUAUGCCAGCGAACAGUUAAGACUCACGAUCACGGUUGAUGAUUAUUUAGACAAACUAGUGGAAUAUUGUAAUAUGAAAUUAUAUUCCAUUGCCACAGUGGUCGAAACCAAACAAACAUGGGCUGAUGAAGAUGAUUUUCAAGUCUUGAAACCAAAUAUUAUAGUCAAGAUCGAUGGAGAACCUACAGUAGGAAAACCAUCAAUUAUCAGUCUUAGAUUCAAAAAUCCUUUGCAAAGGGUAUUAACAGAUUGUAAAUUCAAUUAUGCUGGUCCAGGAUUAACAAGAAACAAAACACUAGCAUUCAGAGAUGUUGAUCCCGAAGAAGACGUCUAUGUAGAACAUCAAUUGAUUCCUCAAAAGGCUGGAUCGCAAAAGAUCAUUGCCACUUUCACUUCGAAAGAGCUAGUAGAUGUUACAGGAUCCGCUGUCAUUGAUGUUCUUGAUAUGGAUGAAUAAAAUUCUUCAAAUUUGAAUGAUAUCAAUUUCAUUUUCAUCUUCGAUUAAUAAAUAUCUUAUCGAUAAAUAUAAGUUGAUGGCUGUAAAAAUAUUUGAAGAUAUCGAAGAUACAUUCUAGAAUGGAUUACGUGAUUAAAACGUUGAGAUCCUAUAUGAGGAAAGAGAUUAUGUAAUG
This 2559-nucleotide unclassified non-coding RNA is filed under the name Apis dorsata (giant honeybee). RNAcentral's name for it is "hemocyte protein-glutamine gamma-glutamyltransferase- like, transcript variant X3". The record is from RNAcentral. Lineage: Eukaryota; Metazoa; Arthropoda; Insecta; Hymenoptera; Apidae.